RNAcentral lists this ribosomal RNA (253 nucleotides) under uncultured Spartobacteria bacterium. RNAcentral's name for it is "partial 16S ribosomal RNA". It matches the Rfam family "Bacterial small subunit ribosomal RNA", at positions 524 to 776 of the family's 1533-position model. Lineage: Bacteria; Pseudomonadati; Verrucomicrobiota; Spartobacteria. The record is from RNAcentral.
UACAGAGGUCUCAAGCGUUGUUCGGAUUUACUGGGCGUAAAGGGUGCGUAGGCGGCGGCGUAAGUCGAGUGUGAAAUCUUCCGGCUCAACCGGAAAAUUGCACUUGAUACUGUGUCGCUAGAGGACUGUAGAGGAGACUGGAAUUCACGGUGUAGCAGUGAAAUGCGUAGAUAUCGUGAGGAAGACCGGUGGCGAAAGCGAGUCUCUGGGCAGUUCCUGACGCUGAGGCACGAAGGCUAGGGGAGCAAACGGG